AGUGAACGCUGGCGAUAGGCCUAACACAUGCAAGUCGAACGGCAGCACAGGAGAGCUUGCUCUCUGGGUGGCGAGUGGCGGACGGGUGAGGAAUACAUCGGAAUCUACUCUGUCGUGGGGGAUAACGUAGGGAAACUUACGCUAAUACCGCAUACGACCUACGGGUGAAAGCAGGGGAUCUUCGGACCUUGCGCGAUUGAAUGAGCCGAUGUCGGAUUAGCUAGUUGGCGGGGUAAAGGCCCACCAAGGCGACGAUCCGUAGCUGGUCUGAGGGGAUGAUCAGCCACACUGGAGCUGAGACACGGUCCAGACUCCUACGGGAGGCAGCAGUGGGGAAUAUUGGACAAUGGGCGCAAGCCUGAUCCAGCCAUACCGCGUGGGUGAAGAAGGCCUUCGGGUUGUAAAGCCCUUUUGUUGGGAAAGAAAUCCAGCUGGCUAAUACCCGGUUGGGAUGACGGUACCCAAAGAAUAAGCACCGGCUAACUUCGUGCCAGCCGCCGCCGUAA
This 506-nucleotide ribosomal RNA is filed under the name uncultured bacterium. RNAcentral describes it as "partial 16S ribosomal RNA". It matches the Rfam family "Bacterial small subunit ribosomal RNA", at positions 29 to 523 of the family's 1533-position model. The record is from RNAcentral.